AUGGAUAUCGCCGACGAAUUCCAACUGCUGCAACGACAAGCACAAGCGGUGCAAGACAUUAUACUCCCGGCCGAAGUAGAAGACCUGCUGCGACGACUACAACAAGAAGAUGACUUUCUACCUGAUGCCGAUGCCAUGUUUCGCGAGCUUGUCCGCCUCGGCCAUAUGAUCGAGGCAAACACGAACGACGUCACCACACACGUCAGCGUCGCGGGUCCGUUGACCGUGGCGGUGGCCGAGUCGCUCAAGACGGUGGACGCGCCAUCCGACGGGCACGACUGCCCGAUCUGCAUGGAGGAUGACAACUCGGCGGCGUGGAAGGAGACGCCGUGCGAGCACCGGUUCCACGGACGGUGCGUCGAGAGGUGGCUGCAGGCCAAGGGGAGCUGCCCCAUGUGCCGGCGCCAGCUGGUGACCAUGCCCGCCGCCGCCGCCCCUAGUACCGCUGGAUUCUCUGACUUAGAGCUGGAUGCCAUCAUGGACCUCGUGAAUUACUAG
Molecule: ribosomal RNA, 498 nt
Filed under: Triticum aestivum (bread wheat)
Lineage: Eukaryota; Viridiplantae; Streptophyta; Magnoliopsida; Poales; Poaceae
Description: partial small subunit ribosomal RNA
Source: RNAcentral